This 202-nucleotide unclassified non-coding RNA is filed under the name Hevea brasiliensis (rubber tree). The record is from RNAcentral. Lineage: Eukaryota; Viridiplantae; Streptophyta; Magnoliopsida; Malpighiales; Euphorbiaceae.
GCCAAAUGUGAAAACAGCUAUUUCAACAGAAGAAUCAGUAAAUUGGCAUUUGCCUAAGGCUAAUUAACUCAGGACUAUGUACGCAUUUUACUCUGAAAUAACCCUGAAGAACAGAGUUUUAGGAUCCAAAAGUUAGUGUAUUAAAAUUUCACGCGCUCAUACAAAUUACCUGGAAUCCAGAUCCAAAAGAAUUGACGACAAA